Molecule: long non-coding RNA, 1668 nt
Organism: Paramormyrops kingsleyae
Lineage: Eukaryota; Metazoa; Chordata; Actinopteri; Osteoglossiformes; Mormyridae
Source: RefSeq, a predicted model, not a curated record
UGCAGAGGACCUAUGGUUGCAUGAACACCUAUGCAGCAUUCUCAUGUCUGAGCUAACAUCUAGGCUGCAUUUGGCCCCUCCCCUGCGUGAGCUGGGGGCCGCUUGCGGUUGCCUUCAGAGAUAUCUGACAGACAACAGAUUGCUUUCAGUUUCCUCAAAGCUAAAAGCUGUGGGCAUGGAGGGUUAGGGUUACUGGCAUGAUUUGUUUGUUUGGCGAGCUGGUACAGCUGCACCGACGGGUAGGUGGACAGACGCGUGGAUAGAUAGAUAGAUAGACAGAAAAACAGGAGGAUAAGAUAGACAAAUGGAUGAAAGAUAUACUUUAUUGAAAUGGACAAUUCUGGUAUCGCCGCAGCGCGCAGAAAAAAAGUGCAUAAGUGAAAAGACAACACAGAGCACAGAAGACACUGCUACAGAAAUCUGUGGUGGUUUUUCAUUGAGGGGGGUUAGGUUAUGCAGGCACAACUUGGGCUGCACGUUCUACAUGGACCUCACUUUGCGUGGGAUUUCAGCCUACACUCACAUUUCGGGUUACGGUUCACACUACUCACUUCCUGUGGAAGGCAUGUUGGCAUGGCAACACCCCCAACUCUUCUUUUAGUCUGAAGUCCUCCAGACAAACGGCACACGUCUGCUGCAGUGACAUCACAGAGGCAUGAAAGGGUGUACAACAUGUGGAGGCAGAUGGGCAAAGCAGGGAUCCGCACAAUGGUGCUUCCCACACCCGCCGCGUCAGGCCAAAGGACUGCAGGCCCGCGGCAGCUGCAGAGGAAAAGCAACUGCAGACGUGCCCGUGGCUCCAUGAAUCAUCCGGGAAUACCGGUUAUCCGAGGAGGGUGGGAGAGGUUGUUGUCCGCAUUCCCGGAAAUCUGUCCCCACCGUCAACCAUCAGCACCGGUUCACGGGUUUCCCGUUUUUUUUUUGUCAACGACGUUCUGUGAAAGGAGCCCAGGGAACAAUUCUGUGCCCCGGACUUUAUUUAUCCCGUGUUACGGGUGCGAUUCCUUUGUUGUAUUAGUUUCUGCAGCGCAAUUACUCACUGGUAAAUUUGCACCUGGAUGUAACAUACGCCGUCGUAAGUGGAAGAAUCAGAUGAUAAGUCUCCGUUUAUCACAGGGCUUCUAAAAUGACAUUUGCCAAGAAAAGAAAUCACUUUGUGUGCCUGAUUUAGAAAGAAAGAAAAAAAAAGAAUAGGACCUUGUUUCGUUUCAGAAAGCCAUAAAUAUCCCGGCGGACAAAGGCAAGCGAUAAAGAUCCGUCCCUAAUUGUCUGAAUUAGGAAGCACUUAAAGGGCGCCACCAAAGUCUGCCAUGUGCUCCGAAGACCCAGUGCCUUACGCCAGCUAAAACCACUUUUUAUGUAAUAUCGUUCCUAUAUAUACAUUUAUGAUCCAUAUUCUGUAGCUCUGGCACGAACACCUCCGAGUGUAUGUAUGUCAUUGUUUGCAUGCUGUUGUGACACCUGUUAUUUUCUCAGCUAAUAUUUACACGUGAUUAGCUGGCUGUUAACUAUUGAUUGUAUUAAUAAUAGGAUUAGUCAUAAUAUUAAACUGGAUGAGAUCGACGUGGCAAAAAUGAAUAAGAACGCUGACGAACGAUGUCUAGACCUGCUCAGCCUUAGUGACGGCAAUUAGCCGUCACGGACGAUUAAAACCUUGCGCAACUUUUA